Diospyros lotus (date-plum) is the source of this 2606-nucleotide long non-coding RNA. RefSeq lists it as uncharacterized. The record is from RefSeq and is a predicted model, not a curated record. The transcript is spliced from 3 exons. NCBI's taxonomy places the organism in Eukaryota, Viridiplantae, Streptophyta, Magnoliopsida, Ericales, Ebenaceae.
UCUAAUGAAUGAAUAAGUAUUUAAUAAAAGAAACUUGGUAAGAGAUGCUUACUAGCCAUUUGAUAUUUGAAUUAAACAUUUAUGGGAUUAAAUAAUCUUAUGUUAUGUUUGGUAUUCUACAUUUAAAAUUUAGUAACUUAUCACAUGUUUGGUAUAGUAAAUUUUGAACGAGGUAUAAGAGUCAUUGUCUUGAGGUCCCAUAUUUGAUUUGCUAACCUGCCAUGGUGGAAUGGGAGAUGAAGCUCCUAAAGAGGGGGGGCUUUAGAGGAGAGAGAGAGAGAGUCCAUAGGAUAUUUAUACUUGAGGGGCAAAAUUGUCUAAUCAAACUAAAAAAUUAACCUACUAGGCAUAUAUAUAUAUAUAGAUAUAUAGGAUUAAAUGACAUUAAAGGAAGUGAGAUGGAUUUAUCCCAUGCUUAAGGGAUUGCUUUAUUAAUUUUUCAAAUACGGUAUAACCAUGUUAAGUAAUAAUAUUAUCACUUAAUUUUUUUAUUUAAUAGUCAUAUUACUUGUAAGAAUUUUACAAAAAUUAAGGUCAUAUAUGAAAGUAAAAAAGAAAUUAUAAUUCAUGUAAUUAACCCUAAGUAGAAAUAAAAGUUUAGUUGAAGACAAAAAAAAAAAAAAAAAACAGGAUAGAAAAAUUAAGAAUGAAGAAAUAAAAAAGUUAAAUCCUUCAUUAUGUCAAGACAUGAUGAAAAUGGGUAUUUUAGUGGGAGAUAUUUUGAUGAAGAGUGUGGCACACGCACUUGUAGAGGAGAGUGAAGUCAUGGUGGUUUGAUUACGUAUUCUUGGCUGAAGAUACUGCGCGCAUUAAGCACUUGUGUCAGGCCGUUCUAAAAAUAGCACAGGCUUUCCCCAACACCCCCCCCCCCCCCCCGGGUAGUCUUGCCUGUCCCCUCUUUCUUUCACCUUUCUUUUCUUUUCUUUUCACAUAUGUUUUACUCAUUAAACAAUUUUUAUUCGUUACGCAGAAUUGGCUUGUACCUUUUGUCGUUAACAGCAAGGCUUAUGUAACUAACUUUCUAAUUAAAGCCCUAAACUUCCCACUUUUAGAUAACCACCUCCCAUCAUUAGCAUAAUAGAAUUCCAUUAUGAUUCUGUUGUUUUCCACCGUUGUGGGCAAUUCUCAUGUACAAUCAUCGUCACCCAGAAAAGGGUGGCAACGCAAUCAGAAAUAGAUUCAAUUUCAUUAUCCUGUAGCCUUUACCGUCAAGUCGAGAAUUCGGUGGCUUGUCAUCCAAUUAUAUUGAUAUUUCUGUUGUCUGAAAUUUGGCCUUGACAGUGAAAGAAAAGCUCUUUGCUUUGAGCUCAAAUGAGAGACACUUUGGCCAUUUAAGCUGGCUGAAUUGACAAUUAGCCUUAGGCCGGUCAAUUACCCGUCCAAAUUAAGAUUUUUUUUUUUUCCUUUUAUUUGGAUUGGCCACUGUUUUUGACCACUAUUUCUAGCUAGUUGCCUUAGCAUGUUCUUUGGAUCACAAAAUCGUUGUCAAGGGCGUUUAGUGGUUAAAAACGGACAAAUAAUUUGAAACUUUGAGACAACAAACGACAUGGCCAUGUUUAUGUGCUAAAUGUCGUUUACAUUCGCAGUCUUUGUAAUAAGAUAUCGUUGUUAAUAGCAGUUUAGUGGUUAAAAAUGGACAUGUAAAAAUGAUUGAAUUAUACCAUUUUUGGGUGCUAAUCAUCCUUAUAGUACCUUAAGCAUUAGUCUGAACUUUAAUUAGACAAAGAUUCCUACUGGUGUUGGCCAUGGCUUGCUUACAUAUCUGUGGCUUAAUAUGAUUUGACUUUAUACACACACACACACACACACACACUCUCACUCUUGAUGCUGCUCUAGCUUAUUUGCUCUAAAAUGUUUGAAGCGUGAAGCAGUACUGGAGGGUAGCUGAUGUAAUUUGGGGUGGUGGGAACAAGUCCAGAGAGGAUGAAGGCUACUUCCAUUAUCACCAAUGGGACCUUCACCUCCCAAUCUCCCUCUACUUUAUUAAUGUGCACUGAACAAAGUGACAGAUUUGGACAACCAUUCCAUGCCAACAACUGACCACACAGUGGGGGAGAUGGAGAUAUCUGCAAAGAUUCACAAUGAUAUUAACUAAUGAUGAAGGUUUUGAAGAAUCUGGUGGGCAUGUAAGUAUAUGGUUAAUGCAGUCAAUAUGGAAAAUGAUUAGGGUGAGGGAAGCUGUUCCAUAUCAUUGAUUAGUUCAUAAUUCUUGAAUGUGGUUUCCUACAACUGUAAAGAUGCUGGAAACCCCCUUCAAGAUCCCAAUCAUAUUUGAUUGAAUUGAAUUCAACCUAAACAAAACUUUAUGUAUUUUGAGGGGGCCAGCUGUACUCUUCUAAGGGCUGUUUGGCUGUUGCUCUGCACCUUCUGGAGAUUUGGAAAUUUUUUUUUUUUGAAGUGUUUGUCUAGAAAAUACCAUCAACAAGACGGUGCAGUAUAAUAUUUUUUUUUGUAAAUGGUGACACCUUUUAAAGGUUUUUGAAAUGCACAACUGCCCGUUUGGUAUUACUAUAAUUUUUUUUUGACUGUGGAUUCAUUUUUUUGAAUUUCUCGUUACAUGACUAGUGUAAUAACCCGCUUUUAUCAUCUUAGGUAGUGUUUGUUAA